AGAAAUCCGUACAUUUCGUUUAUUUGAUCUUCGUUCUUUGUCUGUCCCUCCGCUCGCCGUCGCCUUUGUUCCUCGUCGUUUUGUUGGCCCCAGCACGCGAGUUUCUGGAUACGAAAAAAAAUGCAGGGAGGUGCACCGAACAACGGAAAUCCGUACGCCGGAUACCAGCGCGGCUACACGCCGCAGGAUGUUAUUCAAGGAUACCCGCAGCAGGCGGGCCGCGGCGGUGGCGCUGGCUACUAUCCCCCGCAUGCCCAGCAGCCGCCGCAGCCGCAGCAGAUGGCUUCCCAGCCGCCCCAGCAGGUGGCUGCGCAGCAGUACGGAGGCUACAGCCAGGCCUACAACCAGCCAUACGCUGCACGUGGCGGCUACCAGCCGACACCGCCUCAGCAGCAGGCACAGCUGCAGCAGGGCUAUGCUUCUCGCGGUGGCUACUACCAGGGCGGUGGCGCCUACGGUGGCGCCGGUAUCCAGCAGGGGUACCCCGGUGCUGCGGCUCCGAUGGGCCGCGGCGGCUAUGGGCAGGGCUACGGGCCGGGCUACUACCCGGUUCAGCAGCAGCAGGGCUACUACAACCAGGGCUACAACCAGAACCCCAACUACGCGCCGGCAGCGCGUGGUGGCUUCCAGGGCGGCGCGUACGGCGUCCAGCAGCAACCGCAGCAGCCACAGCGACCACAACAACCCCAGCAGCCGCAGCCGCAGCAGCAGCCGCAGCAGCAGCAGCAGCAGCAGCAGCAGCCCUUAAGCCAGCAGUACGGUCGCGGCGGGCGUGGCGGGCCGAGUGGGUUGCAGCGUGGCGGUCGCGGCGGUGGCCGUGGUCGUGGUGGGCGUAUGCUCGAGUCGUAUGCCGUCGUCCACCUCGACAGCUACGCGCAGCUGGAGGAGGUCGGACGCAAGGGGGCGACUGAAACGAUCGUCGCACCGGAGGUGCUCUCUGCGAUGCGUUCGCGUGUGCGCGGUAGCACGAUUCGGGUACUCGUCGUAAUCCAGAAGAAGUACGCUGCCGCCUGCCUGUCUAUCCCGCGCGGUCCCGAAGACACUCUCCUGUCGGAAAAGACAGCUGAGACGUUCGUGGGGGUCCCAUGCGUGAUUGUUGGCCAUGCUGAGCGCCUCGUCGACCUGGCCAACGGCGCAGCUAUCCAGGGCGCCGUGUUCAGCACUUUCCGCUCCCUCAUGAUGCUCCUGACGGCCUUUGACAAGCCACAGACGACGCCAGCGGGGGGCGAGCAGCCUGUAAACGUGCAUGAGAAGACCCGCGAUGAGCUGCUGGAGGCCAUCACAAAGGACAUCGCAACGUACGAAGCGCUGAUGACCGAGAUGGCGGCCGACUCAGAUGAGUCCACGAGGCUUUUCAGCCAUCUAAUGCGCCUCUCGGAUGCUGAGGAAGAUGGUCCACAGCAAGGCGAGGCCCACGAGGAGGGCGCGGACGCUGAAGUGGGCCACAAUAAAGACGAGGAGGGCGAGGAGGGCGAGGAGCAAAAAGCAGCGGCCGCUGAAAAGCCCGCCGAGGGCUCCGCUGCACCAAAGAAGAUGGUGAAGCGCACGCUCAUGUCAUCGCCGCAGGGUAUCCGCAUCCUGCGCGCUGCUCUCGCCGUCAGCAGAAAACGACAGGUCUUCUUUGAGAAGAUCGUGCCGCCGCCGCCGAACCCGGAAGCCAACCCGCUUAACCGCAUCGAAUGGAGCGCCUCGCUGCGGCUCAUCGACCCGCUGUUGCACUACCCGCUUCUGUCAGACCUAGUCUUCCAGUUUUUCGGCGUUGUCCCGGUCGGUAGGGAGGCCGCGAAGCCGGCGAAGGCGAAGGCACAAGAGGUGAAGGCGUUGUGCGAUGCAAUCGCCCGCUACGGUGUGCAGCUGACCAGCUCCGCCAGCUGCGGCAACACCAUACUGGCCCUGCUGCAGGCCAUGGAUCCUCAGCACGCCAAGAUCAGCGUGGCUGAGCGGGCCGCGGAGGAGAUCAACAGGAAGCCUGGACUGAAGCGCAGCCGCGAGGCGGAGGAGGGUGACGCAAAUGCCGACGACGGCGCGCAGAAGGCAAAGACGGAGGAGGCACCAGAGGGGGAGAGGGAAGCGGCGUCGGAGUCGCCGGCGGCGAAGCAGGCCCCCAGCAGCCUCGCAGAGUACAAGGCCUCGGUUGGGCCGGUGGACUGGCGUCUACACUACGCCGUCGCCGAGUCGUGGUGCACCGGCGAGCAGCCGGUGCCGGGCCGCAAGCGCACGCGCUUCACCACGCAGGCGCAGCUGGACGCCGACGCUGCUGCGGCGGAUAAACCCGCAACGGUCGAGUCCCGCCUGCGCUACGUUGGCCACCACCUGAUCGGUUCUUUCGUUCUACGCUACAUGAUCCCUAUCUUCGCCGACGUCAUCCUUUCCUCGCUCAAGAACCCCGCUAGUCGCAAGAAGAAGGAGCACGAUGCAUUUGUGCAGCAGUGCGAAACAAUUCUGUCCACGAUGGCAGGCGCAUGGUCGACCAAUGACGCCAGCUUCAUAGGAGGAAACGUCUACCGAAACCUUCUGACAAGCCUUGCCAGCCGCGCUGUGCCCGGCACCCCCAUCGAGGCGUAUCUGCGCAAGCUGCUUAACGGCAUCGUCAACACAAUCUUCGAGUCGUCGAAGGAGAAAUACCUCUCUCACUGCGUGCAGGAGGCGCUGACGGUGGCUCGACAGACGAAGGAUGGCGGGCGGUUCACGCUGGAGGUCGCACGUGCGUUGAUGGAGAAGGCCGACGAGUCGUUCAUGAACCUCGCCAUCAGCCCCUCCGGCAACUACGUGGUGCGCCACCUGUGCGGACAACUGACGGACUACGCCACGGGCAAGGUGGCUGCCGAGUCGGAAGUGGUGGCGGAAGCCAAGGAGUUGGAGGCGAAGUAUUACGCCUUCAUGACAACCAACUUGGGGAAGCUCAGCAGAAUUCAGUACGGCAGGGGUCUCGCCGGCUGGCAAAGCGAGCAGUCCGCCCGCCUCGGUGCCGCAAGCGCCCCGGGUGCGACGAGUGAGCCGAGCUCUCCCAACGCUGAGUAGCCAUGCCCACUUCCUUUUAUCUUGACUAAAGAGCAAUGCGCCCCCGCCAUUAUAGACGUCACUUCUCGUCCUUUUGUGUGUGUGUGUGGGUGGGUGGGUGGGUGGGUGGGUGGGGGGGCGUAUCGCCUUGUCUUUGACUCAUGAUCUUCGUUCUCCUCUCAUUUCUCUGGCUACCGCGGUCGUCCGUCUUCUUCCCUCGAAGCGGAGUCGCGUGUUUUUGUAUCUGUAUGUGUAUUUACGUGUGUGUGUGUGUAUGUAUGUCGGUGUCUCUCCGAGGCAGUCUCACAGCUGGAAAACAAGUCAAGGAGCCGAGAAUCGAACUGUACACCCCCUCCCUCUCUUCUGUACCUGCACUGAGAAAGCAGCAGCAACAACAUAGGAGCACGUGCUCGGCGCAAGAAGGAAGAGGUGAAGCUAACGUAUGCCAUGGUGGGGCGUAUUCUUUACACGGCAGCGGUGCAAAGAAGGCGUGUGCAGACACACGUAGGCCAGGGUGGAGGCGAUAUUUGUAGCGAAACGCUGGGGAGGGAAGGGUGGUUUUGGCCGUGGACGAGCGGCCUGUAGCGCAAACACGGGGGAAACGGAAAGGGGCGUAGUGCAUUCUUUCCUCGUCUCGGUGUAGCGACACUGUUCUUCCUGUGAUGUUCUUUUUGUUAGUUUGGCGUGUUGGGUGGAUAAACCGCAGGAAACGAAGGGGCUCUUUGGAUGGCAAGGAGAGCUGCAAGUGUUAUGUAGCGCUCUGAGCACCCGUUGUUUGUCUGUCUCUCUCUGUUUGUCUUUUUUCGUUGAUUUUUUGCGCACGCGCGUGUGCUGACGUCGGUAUACAUAUAGAUGUAUUUAUAUAUACAUGUAUGCAUAUAUAAAUAUGUGUAUAUAUAUAUAUUGUUGUUGGUUUCCUCUUUUCCUCUUUGCUCUUCUGUUUGUACUCGUGAAACUUGGGGUGAGGUGGGAGAGAGGAAGCGGAGGAGGACGACUGGAAAGAACAAGCACGAGGACCUCCUCCUGCAGCUCGUCGGUGCUCCCUUACUAUUAUUUAUUUAGUUAUUAUUAUUUUUCCUUUUGUGUUCUUGAGGGGGCGGGGGAUGUUUGCUCUUUUUCCGUCGCAUAUGCGCGUGCGUCAGCGAGCGUUCCAGCUUGCACUUUGGCCUCCUCGCCUUUUCAAACAUCUCUGUGUGUGUGUGCGCGCGCGCCUUUGUAUCGAUCUCGUUUUCUUGUCUCUCUGCGUCUCUCAAGAGAUGCUACUGCAUGCCACAUGAACAGUCUCGCUGUGUCAGGGGAGGUAACGUGUUGAUGCAGGUGGUGUAUGCGUGUGCGUGUCUGUGUGUUUGAGUUUGUGCUUGUAAGAAGAUCCAUGUGUUGUCGAUUGUGUAAGUAUGUGUGUAUGUGUGCUAUGUGUCUCUCUGAGCACUCAGGUGCGCUUCUUGGUCUUUUUUAUUCUGCCCUCCUCCCUCCCCUCCGCCUGUUCCCCUCUUCUCCACGUUCGCAGUGUGCCCCCCCUCUCCCUGCCGCUACCGCUCCUCUCUCCCGUUCCCGCACCGUCGACGCGUGUGUGAUGCAUUGGAUGUGUGGUUGCAAGAGGGGAGGCAAAGGGCGGCAGAGGGUGGCAGUGAGGCGCACAUGCAGGCGUUUCGACACACACAGCAACACACCCGGUCUGGCGAAGGAGGAACUGGGGGAGGGAUGAGAGAGCACCGUUGUUUUGUUUCUUCAUGGUGUUUAUUUAUCUUGAAUAGAGGAUCUUGUAGGGAAAAAAAUUGUCCAGUGAAGCGUCGACAGGGCGCACAAAAAAGAAAAAGAUGAAGGAUUGCUUGUUUGGUUGUACGCGAUAUGCAGUUCUCUUUCUUGUGCUCAUGUGAGCCUAAGGCGUUAAACAUGUGAGUCGCUGUGAAACUGAGAAAACCACCCUUGCAACAAAAUAGAAUGCGGGGAUGCUUAGGGAGAAAGUAGGGAGAUGGGCAGACGAGCGGCGUUGCUGCGGGUUAAUGGCGGUGUGCGCCAUGCCCAGGGUGAUAUCCUCUCGGUUGAGUCUGCAUGUCUCUCUCGCUUCGCCCUCCUCCCGUGCGGACGCGUUCACUUGGUGUCUCCCAGCACUCUGAAGGCGCAUGCGCACAGUUGUGGUGCAGCCACGAUGCGCACCUACGCGCUUGUGCGUGCGUGCGUGCGUGUGUGUGUGUGUUCUUCUGGCGUAUCCACGAGGGUGAGAGCGUCUCCUGCUCUCCUGUUUUCCUUGCUGGAUCACUCUGACCUCCAACGGCCUCAACCCACGCACAGGGCGGAGGCGUGACGGCGUGCGGCUCAUGCCAGGCCCGGUGCCUUGCUGGAGGAGACAGAUAGAGAGAGCUACACAGAGGGAAGAAAGCUCUUUUGUUCGACUGCCCUUUUUUAUUUUGCUGCCGUCCAAGCAGUGCUAGGCGAGUGUUGGGCCUCUUCGGCGCCGGAGAGCAC
This 5466-nucleotide unclassified non-coding RNA is filed under the name Leishmania donovani. Its description in RNAcentral is "gene:LdHU3.36.7110(CDS-product:hypothetical_prote in_conserved)". The record is from RNAcentral. Lineage: Eukaryota; Euglenozoa; Kinetoplastea; Trypanosomatida; Trypanosomatidae.